GAUGAAGAACGCAGCGAAAUGCGAUAAGUAAUGUGAAUUGCAGAAUUCAGUGAAUCAUCGAAUCUUUGAACGCACAUUGCGCCCGCCAGUAUUCUGGCGGGCAUGCCUGUUCGAGCGUCAUUUCAACCAUCAAGCCCCCGGCUUGUGUUGGGGACCUGCGGCUGCCGCAGGCCCUGAAAAGCAGUGGCGGGCUCGCUGUCACACCGAGCGUAGUAGCAUACAUCUCGCUCUGGGCGUGCUGCGGGUUCCGGCCGUUAAACCACCUUCAUAACCCAAGGUUGACCUCGGAUCAGGUAGGAAGACCCGCUGAACUUAAGCAUAUCAAUAGCGGAGGA
This 335-nucleotide unclassified non-coding RNA is filed under the name soil metagenome. RNAcentral describes it as "partial contains 5.8S ribosomal RNA, internal transcribed spacer 2, and large subunit ribosomal RNA". The stretch from base 1 to 120 matches the Rfam family "5.8S ribosomal RNA", at positions 35 to 154 of the family's 154-position model. The record is from RNAcentral.